Molecule: ribosomal RNA, 433 nt
Filed under: uncultured bacterium
Lineage: Bacteria
Description: partial 16S ribosomal RNA
Rfam family: Bacterial small subunit ribosomal RNA
Source: RNAcentral
AACGAACGCUGGCGGCAGGCCUAACACAUGCAAGUCGAGCGAGAUCUUCGGGUCUAGCGGCGGACGGGUGCGUAACGCGUGGGAAUAUGCCUCUUGGUACGGAAUAGCCUCGGGAAACUGGGAGUAAUACCGUAUGUGCCCUUUGGGGGAAAGAUUUAUCGCCAAGAGAUUAGCCCGCGUUGGAUUAGGUAGUUGGUGGGGUAAUGGCCUACCAAGCCGACGAUCCAUAGCUGGUUUGAGAGGAUGAUCAGCCACACUGGGACUGAGACACGGCCCAGACUCCUACGGGAGGCAGCAGUGGGGAAUCUUAGACAAUGGGGGCAACCCUGAUCUAGCCAUGCCGCGUGAGUGAUGAAGGCCUUAGGGUUGUAAAGCUCUUUCAGCUGGGAAGAUAAUGACGGUACCAGCAGAAGAAGCCCCGGCUAACUCCGUG